RNAcentral lists this ribosomal RNA (253 nucleotides) under uncultured bacterium. RNAcentral describes it as "partial 16S ribosomal RNA". It matches the Rfam family "Bacterial small subunit ribosomal RNA", at positions 524 to 776 of the family's 1533-position model. The record is from RNAcentral.
UACGUAGGGGGCUAGCGUUGUCCGGAAUCAUUGGGCGUAAAGAGCGUGUAGGCGGCCCGGUAAGUCCGCUGUGAAAGUCGGGGGCUCAACCCUCGAAUGCCGGUGGAUACUGUCGGGCUAGAGUGCGGAAGAGGCGAGUGGAAUUCCCGGUGUAGCGGUGAAAUGCGCAGAUAUCAGGAGGAACACCGAUUGCGAAGGCAGCUCGCUGGGACGUAACUGACGCUGAGACGCGAAAGCGUGGGGAGCAAACAGG